GUGGAUUAGAUACCCUGGGAGUCCACGCCGUAAACGAUGGAUACUAGCUGUUUGGCAGCAAUGCUGAGUGGCUAAGCGAAAGUGAUAAGUAUCCCACCUGGGGAGUACGAACGCAAGUUUGAAACUCAAAGGAAUUGACGGGGGCCCGCACAAGCGGUGGAGCAUGUGGUUUAAUUCGAUGAUACGCGAGGAACCUUACCAGGGCUUAAAUGUAGUGUGACAGGACUGGAAACAGUUUUUUCUUCGGACACAUUACAAGGUGCUGCAUGGUCGUCGUCAACU
This 282-nucleotide ribosomal RNA is filed under the name uncultured bacterium. RNAcentral's name for it is "partial 16S ribosomal RNA". It matches the Rfam family "Bacterial small subunit ribosomal RNA", at positions 773 to 1060 of the family's 1533-position model. The record is from RNAcentral.